Molecule: small nucleolar RNA, 82 nt
Organism: Suncus etruscus (white-toothed pygmy shrew)
Lineage: Eukaryota; Metazoa; Chordata; Mammalia; Eulipotyphla; Soricidae
Product: small nucleolar RNA SNORD121A
Exons: 1
Source: RefSeq, a predicted model, not a curated record
AUAUAUAAACAAUGAUGCAAUCAUUUCCAAGCACAUAUCUGAUGAUGCCAUGUGGAAAUAAAAAAUAAUAAAAUACAUAUAU